GGCUCAAGCGUACCGCCGAAGUCGUGUCAUUGCGAUAUAUACCCCCAACGGGGAUCGUGAUGGGUAGGGGAGCGUCGUGUGCCGGGUGAAGCAGCACCGGAAGGUAGUUGUGGACGGUUCACGAGUGAGAAUGCAGGCAUGAGUAGCGAUUCACACGUGAGAAACGUGUGCGCCGAUUGACUAAGGGUUCCUGGGUCAAGCUGAUCUGCCCAGGGUAAGUCGGGACCUAAGGCGAGGCCGACAGGCGUAGUCGAUGGAUAACCGGUUGAUAUUCCGGUACCGCUGUGAAGCGUACAAACGAUCGAAUCCAGUGAU
This 315-nucleotide non-coding RNA is filed under the name Streptomyces afghaniensis 772. RNAcentral describes it as "Bacterial large subunit ribosomal RNA". It matches the Rfam family "Bacterial large subunit ribosomal RNA", at positions 1179 to 1473 of the family's 2925-position model. Lineage: Bacteria; Bacillati; Actinomycetota; Actinomycetes; Kitasatosporales; Streptomycetaceae. The record is from Rfam by way of RNAcentral.